GGGUGGGGCCCUUGGAACAGCCUGUGGAUUCUGUUCAUAAUGAAAUAAAAACUGCUAAGACUUGUGCAGAGGAAAGCAUGGACAGUCAAAGGCAUCCUUGCUGCUGUGUGCUGCAGACAGUGGAGGAGUGAGCUCCUUAACAUAUUGUUUUCUUCAGUGGUGUGGUCCCUGGUACAUCGCCAUGGAGAGUGGGAGAGUGCUUGGCUCAUGCUCAUUACUCUGAAAAAGCUGCAAUCCGUCAGUUCUCAACUGUCUCCCUUAUGUUGGCUUUCUUUGAACACCGGGAACCUUUGCAGUUUGAAGAACAUGAAGAUGCUUGCUGAUGCAUUUGCCUCAAACACAGGCUUAUUGUGCCACUUUCUUCUAGAGCUGAGCCAACUGUGGUUCGGAAGCCAGUAGAGGUGACGUUGCUGGGACACAAGGCUAGCACAAACUGACUCCCUACAGUGCACGUUCUACUGUGCUGUGUUCUUCUGACUCUAUGCUACAUUGGCAACCACCGGUUUCCUCCCAUUCUGCCAACCCUCUGGCUUGCUAGGAGUUUCCAUGGAGAAGAGGGUGGUAUCUUUUGGAGCUCCUCCAUUGAACACUCCCUGAUGCUCUACUCUGGCUGAGUCUCAGUUCUUGGUGGUUGUUUAUGAUAUUCAAGCAUCCGCACUGGCCUGUGAUGUCUCCCUGACUCCGUCCAUCCCAUCCUCUUACAGCUGUAUUCUUCCUCUCCUGGCACCAAGAGUGUCAGUCAUGCCGUGCAUCAGGGCCCUUCUGUGACGCACUGCAGCCUUUCAAGAGUGCCUCUUCCCCCACUGGAUGUGAUUUUCAAUAUUUAGAGAUGGCUCAGAUGGAAAAGUUCUUGUCACACAGCAUGCACACUGGGGUUUUGUUUUUAGAACCUAUAUAUAACUCAGGCAAGGCAAAUGGUCAGCCUGAAAUUCUAGCCAUCUAAAGGCAGAAACAAAAGAGCAAGCUUUGGCUAGCCAGACUAGCCAAAUCACGAAGACUAGCUCAAUUAGGAGAACCUGCCUCACUGAACACAGUGGGAACAACUGAGGAAGAUUCCCAGUAUCAACCUCUGACUUCACUCCAGACUUCAGUCUCCAACUUGCACAAAUGUCUGCAUGCAC
This 1121-nucleotide long non-coding RNA is filed under the name Mus spicilegus (steppe mouse). Its description in RNAcentral is "lncRNA (ENSMSIG00000009218.1)". The record is from RNAcentral. Lineage: Eukaryota; Metazoa; Chordata; Mammalia; Rodentia; Muridae.